UACGUAGGGUGCGAGCGUUAAUCGGAAUUACUGGGCGUAAAGCGUGCGUAGGCGGUUCGUUAAGUCAGCUGUGAAAGCCCCGGGCUCAACCUGGGAACUGCGGUUGAAACUGGCGAACUAGAAUCUGGCAGAGGGGGGUGGAAUUCCACGUGUAGCAGUGAAAUGCGUAGAUAUGCGGAGGAACACCGAUGGCGAAGGCAAUCCCCUGGGCCUGCACUGACGCUCAUGCACGAAAGCGUGGGGAGCAAACAGG
This 253-nucleotide ribosomal RNA is filed under the name uncultured bacterium. RNAcentral describes it as "partial 16S ribosomal RNA". It matches the Rfam family "Bacterial small subunit ribosomal RNA", at positions 524 to 776 of the family's 1533-position model. The record is from RNAcentral.